This 156-nucleotide small nuclear RNA is filed under the name Triticum aestivum (bread wheat). RNAcentral's name for it is "partial small subunit ribosomal RNA". The stretch from base 27 to 156 matches the Rfam family "U1 spliceosomal RNA", at positions 1 to 134 of the family's 166-position model. From Rfam's summary of the family: U1 is a small nuclear RNA (snRNA) component of the spliceosome (involved in pre-mRNA splicing). Its 5' end forms complementary base pairs with the 5' splice junction, thus defining the 5' donor site of an intron. There are significant differences in sequence and secondary structure between metazoan and yeast U1 snRNAs, the latter being much longer (568 nucleotides as compared to 164 nucleotides in human). Lineage: Eukaryota; Viridiplantae; Streptophyta; Magnoliopsida; Poales; Poaceae. The record is from RNAcentral.
AUGCAGCCCACGGGCAAAUUUGAAACUUACUUACCUGGACGGGGUCGACGGCCGAUCAAGAAGGGUCAUGGCCUAGAUCAAUGGCCCGCAUUGCACUUGGCAAGCGUGUUGAUCUGCCAUCUCCCCUUGUGGGAGAGUGGGCGUCAUAAUUUGUGA